GCCGCCUUAGCUCAGUUGGUAGAGCGACUGCAUCGUAAGCAGUAGGUCCCCAGUUCAAGCCUGGGAGGCGGCU
This 73-nucleotide transfer RNA is filed under the name bacterium. RNAcentral describes it as "tRNA-Thr". It matches the Rfam family "tRNA". From Rfam's summary of the family: Transfer RNA (tRNA) molecules are approximately 80 nucleotides in length. Their secondary structure includes four short double-helical elements and three loops (D, anti-codon, and T loops). Further hydrogen bonds mediate the characteristic L-shaped molecular structure. tRNAs have two regions of fundamental functional importance: the anti-codon, which is responsible for specific mRNA codon recognition, and the 3' end, to which the tRNAs corresponding amino acid is attached (by aminoacyl-tRNA synthetases). tRNAs cope with the degeneracy of the genetic code in two manners: having more than one tRNA (with a specific anti-codon) for a particular amino acid; and 'wobble' base-pairing, i.e. permitting non-standard base-pairing at the 3rd anti-codon position. RNAcentral also lists the same sequence under 1 other name. The record is from RNAcentral.